Molecule: long non-coding RNA, 195 nt
Organism: Zonotrichia leucophrys gambelii
Lineage: Eukaryota; Metazoa; Chordata; Aves; Passeriformes; Passerellidae
Exons: 3
Source: RefSeq, a predicted model, not a curated record
GUCAAACCGAGCCAAGCCAAUGGAACCCAACCAAGGUCAACCCAACCCAACCCAAGGUCAACCAAGGUCAACCCAACCCAACCAAAAGUCAACGAAACCCAAGCCAAGGUCAACCAAGGUCAACCCAACCCAACCCAAGGUCAUCCAAGGUCAACCAAGGUCAACCCAACCCAACCAAAAGUCAACCAAACCCAA